UACGGAGGGUGCGAGCGUUGUCCGGAAUCAUUGGGCGUAAAGAGCUCGUAGGCGGUCUGUCGCGUCUGCUGUGAAAACUCGGGGCUUAACCCCGGGCCUGCAGUGGGUACGGGCAGACUAGAGUGCGGUAGGGGAGACUGGAAUUCCUGGUGUAGCGGUGAAAUGCGCAGAUAUCAGGAGGAACACCGGUGGCGAAGGCGGGUCUCUGGGCCGUAACUGACGCUGAGGAGCGAAAGCAUGGGGAGCGAACAGG
This 253-nucleotide ribosomal RNA is filed under the name uncultured bacterium. RNAcentral describes it as "partial 16S ribosomal RNA". It matches the Rfam family "Bacterial small subunit ribosomal RNA", at positions 524 to 776 of the family's 1533-position model. The record is from RNAcentral.